CCAAAGCCUCUGGUUUUCUUCCCUCAGGACUCUGUCCUCAUUGUAGAGCUGAGGUGUGGCUGUUGUCGUUGUAGAGCUGAGGUGUGGACUCCAGGCCCGGACUGGAGAAGGUCAAGGGGGAUCCUGACUCAGAGCAUGCAAGAAGGCAGGUUACACAGGAGCAAGUGGAGGAAAGCAGACCUCAGUGCUCUGCCAUCUGUGAAGCUCAGCCUAAGGGUGACCUUCAGGAGCCCCCUCACUGUGACCAGGAGUGGGAAGCCCUGGGCCUCUCCUUCCUGUUCAGGAGGCAGUGGAGCUGAGCCUGUGUUGCAGCUGCUCCCUCAGGUGGUCAUUACAAAUGGUGGAGUCCUCCAGGUGCUGGCUAAGGUUCCGGAUUUCACCAAGAUGCUCCUGUGGCAGGUGAGCCCCUGCAGCCAUCCCUCCAGGACUGGAGGAGGUGGGAGAUGGAGAAUUCUGGUCACACGUGGGGCCACAUGGGGGAUGGGGCUUGGCCUCACUGGCCUCUCAGCAGCUUCCCCUGACCAUCACCCUCCUCUCACCUGGGCACCCAGGAGCUGAGCUGACUCUGUUUAAAGAGCCAGUUGGCUUCAGAUGCAGGACAGUGGGUGCUAAGGCCGCCCCAUGGGCCUCCUCCCAUGCAGGGGUACCUGUAAGGGAGCUGUCAGUGUAGGUGUACAGUUACCAGGGUAACUGGGAAGUGUCCGGGGUUGCCCAGGGUUUAGAAAAGCAGCUGAGGACCGUGGAGCUCAGCCUAGGCCCUGGAAAGGGGUGGCCCUUUCCUGAGUUGACCGUGAUCCUGACCCUAGGAUUCUACCUUACCUCUUAGUGCCCCUUGAAUGGAUGUUCUUUAGCAAGAGACAAGCCCUUCCUUCACCCUUUGAGAGAAGACCUAAGGUAAAGGCUAGUCCGUUAUGUCAGCUCAUCCUAUGUGGUUAAUGAUUGGUACUGAAUGCUCCCCUCAAAUUUCUUUUAAUAUGGCAGGAAGAAAGGAUAGUCUAUACUGAUUCAGGCAUCUGAAGGCUGAGGAGAGGGGAGAAAAAAAAGAUUCAGAAAUGAUCAGUGGGAGGGAUGCUAAUGACAGACCACAGCCAGAUGCCUCAUUUUGCUUUGGAUGCAGCCUUGUCCUGAAAAUCACAGUUCUUUUCCUGCUGGACCUGAGCUGCUUCCCAGCGUUACCUGUAGAAUCAUCUUGCUCCAGGUGGGAAGAUGACCUGACUAGGAGAGCUAGGAGGGAGAGGAGGAGUGUGAACUGGGAUUUAUUUGUGGGUGGGGAGGUGUGUAGAAACAGCCCCCCUUUCUGUCACAACUCCUGACUGAUGGAGGAAUGUUCUGUGAAGGCCGGUGCCUGGCAUUCUGGAAGGUCUGAGAGGGAGCAGUGAGGGGAUCAGGAUGUGGGGAGAGAGAGGCCGUGAAAGUGAGAGCACAGAGGUGGCCCCUGACUUUCUCACACCUCCCACUCUGCACCAAAGGCCUGGGCAGGGAGCAUGAAGGAUGCACUUCGAAAGGACUAAGCACUGAUGGGGCCUGUUCAUUUUAUCUCCUGUCUGUGAGCCAGAGA
Molecule: long non-coding RNA, 1558 nt
Filed under: Sus scrofa (pig)
Lineage: Eukaryota; Metazoa; Chordata; Mammalia; Artiodactyla; Suidae
Description: lncRNA (ENSSSCG00065002885.1)
Source: RNAcentral